CACUAUUGCCAGCAGCAAGACUGUCAGCUCGGCGCCCUCGUCUGGUUGGAUGGGAAACUGCAGUUGCUAAGGGAGCUGGGAAUCUCUGAGGACAAAUGGGAAUUCUCACUGAUUUCUAGGACUACCCUGGGGCAGACACUAUGGUGACUGAAGUUCUCAUUUUUAUUUUUUAAUCCCCUGGAUUUACCAGCAUUAAGUUGUCAUUUUUAAAAUGGGGCCAU
This is a long non-coding RNA of Pan troglodytes (chimpanzee), 221 nucleotides long. RefSeq lists it as uncharacterized. The transcript is spliced from 3 exons. The record is from RefSeq and is a predicted model, not a curated record. Lineage: Eukaryota; Metazoa; Chordata; Mammalia; Primates; Hominidae.